Molecule: long non-coding RNA, 2591 nt
Organism: Triticum aestivum (bread wheat)
Lineage: Eukaryota; Viridiplantae; Streptophyta; Magnoliopsida; Poales; Poaceae
Exons: 5
Source: RefSeq, a predicted model, not a curated record
CUUCCCUCGCGCUGCCAUCACAUACUUCGUAUCCUCCCCGUUGGCUCCCUCCCCCCAACCCAACCCGCGUCCUCCUUCUCCCGUAUCGCUCGGACCUGUAGCGUCGCCGCCGUCACCGAUGCACCUCCUUUCCCCUUCUCCCUACCACCUUCGGCUUCAGCAUGGAGCAUUAGCUCCUCUUGCCUCACCGGCCGUCCUGAGCAAGGGCAGGGCGCCUCGUCCUCUCCUUCCCCGAGCGCGGAGGGAGAGAAGAGAUGGCGACGGCUGGAUCUCGGUAAGUGGCCAGCGAGGAGGACGGCUUGGCCCCGCAGCAACGCCAACAAGGCACUUCCGUCUAGCGUCGCCUAUUCUUCCUCCUCUCGCUCCAAUCCUACCGUGGCCACCACCAGUAGUAGCAAGAAGUCCAACUCUUCUGUGGUAUGAACUAUUCCUUGUGUUGUUGUUUGAUGUAUUUUCUUGCAUCCUUGCUAAUUCGGGUUGAUCUGCUAUUGCCCCACACGAGGUUGUCCUCCUCUCUGGUUUUGCUGAUUCCGACGGCGCCGAAUCCACCUACAGGAUAUCUUUGACAUUUGUUAUUAUUGGGGUGUAAAUCCUGGCGAUGAAAAUAUUAUCAAUGUUCUUGUCAAAUUGGGUUGCCAAUGCUGGAAGCUGCUCAUGGGACAUAUAACUUGAAGGUCGUCUCCAGUGCUACUUUUCUUUCUACUGAUUUUCGUUUUAAUCAAGAACGAUAGAGAGUGAUUCCACGCUUGUACUUGACUUCAUGUGCUUCCUUGGACUUGAUAUCUUCUGUUUUUAUUGUGUGGUGGUGGUGCCGUCGAGGUCGGGGAUGGCGCUCAGCGGCUUGGAUGCCGCGUUCGUCCUCCCCAUGCACUUCCCUUCUCCCUCGGCUUCUUUCGCGCCCGAUUCCUCCUCGACCGCCUGGUAUCCAAGGAGAAAAUGAUGUUUCAAUGAUACAAAGGGCUGAUGUUGGUUUUGGUACAUUCAUAGGUUUAUGUACCUCCCUAGCUUCCUUGCCUUGCUGCUCUAGCACCAGCCUCGCCGCUGUUGAGUUGUAUAGAUCAUUAUGAAGUAAAUAAUUUGGGGGAAUUCUCUGCUUCACCUAUAAAGAGAUGGGAUCCAUAUGGCAGGGAUGAAAUCCAACUUCAAUUGGCAUGCAAUAAGAUCAAAUGGGAGUUUGGACCAUGAGCUUGCGGAUGCUAAACAAAAUCUUAGGUAAGUCUGAAAUAGAAGCAUUCAAGAAGUUCACUAGGCCAGAAUGCUUCGAAGCCGAUCUUGAUGACCAUAACUUCACGUUUACUCAGCAUGCUAAAAUGGCUCGAGUUAUUCAUCUGUAUGGUGUAGGUACCCUCCAACUCCUUUUUGUUUUAAUGAUUUUCACUAACAAAUAAUUCUUACAUAAGACCUUGGAGUAGCAAAGAUGUUCUCAUUUGUCCAACAUAAUUUACAAAAUUUGAUGGAUUAGAAAAAGAUUAAAAUUAAUGGAUGCGGGUAAUACACAAUUUUAUAUGUUGGCAAGUAUGUAUAAUGUACGAGUCUACGCAAGUGUCAGUUCUGUAUUAUUGUCUGUUUUCAAGUAUUUGUCACUCGAGUUUCUGAUAACUGAAGUGGGUGUUUGUAGUUGCAAUGCAGAGCAGAUCGAGUGGUGUAAGGUGGUGUUGUUGUGGGACAUUGCAACUGCUGCCAGAUUGAUUCAAGCUUCAUUUUAAUGUUUUUGUUCAUCUAUGCUUUUGAUUAUAUUUUUACAGAAUAAUGGGGGUUAUACUUAUUCUCGAGGGCCUUGCAGAGAGUAUUCUGAAUUGUAUUCAUUGCUUCCAAGUAGUUGUUUAUAUUUCUUAUGAGUAUUCACCUACAACUUGAUGUCUUACAACACGAGGAGAUUUAUACCUGUUUGCUUAAGCAUUUUCACUAAACUACGCAUACUGUAUGUUAACAAAUACAACAACAUUUGCUAUUCAGUCAUGCACAUUAUGUGGCUACCUUUGUACCAAUCUUGUGUAUAGGACAGGGUACAUACGAUUUUCUUGUUCAUGCCUAUAAAAAAAUAUAUGAUGAUGAUGAAUGAGGUAAGUAUCGGGGUUUUCUUCUUGGGUUGUGGGUAGUGGUGUUCUCCAAAAGCUCUUUUCAUCCCAUACAAAGCUUUUAUAAAGGUAAGGUAAAGCUUUUAGAUACUCUUGCUUCUCUCUGGAGCUAUAUUUAUAAACUUUGUCCCAAUUCUUGUCGUUAUAUCAUAAAUCUUGCUUGUGAUUCAGAACAAAUGGUGGAUUAUUAUGUAGCUUUCUAACAUGUGAUGCAGUAACAUAUACUAGAGUUCGAUGUUAAUCUAUCAAAACAGAGGCUAACAGAGUCCUUUUCUUUUGCUUGAUUUGCAUAUUUUACUUGUGUUGACAGAUAGAUUAUUUUGGUUGCUUAACUCGGUAUGUUUUUGUUCAAACUUCAUGUUACUUGAGCUAACUGUAGAGCAUUAUAUGGCUUAAGUAAAAAAAACUGAUAGAAUUUUUUUACUUGAUGUGUAAGUUCUGUACCAAAUCAUUUAUACAUAAGUCGAGUGCUAAUUGUUAGAGACUUGUUCUGAGUUACACCAACUUGCUUAA